AAAUCUCCGAGCUUAACUCGGAAACUGCCAUUGAUACUAUCUGUCUUGAAUAUCCUGGAGGUGAGCGGAAUAUGUCACGUAGCGGUGAAAUGCUUAGAUAUGACAUAGAACACCAAUUGCGAAGGCAGCUCACUACGGGAUUAUUGACACUGAGGCACGAAAGCGUGGGGAUCAAACAGGAUUAGAUACCCUGGUAGUCCACGCCCUAAACGAUGGAUACUCGACAUACGCGAUACACUGUGUGUGUCUGAGCGAAASSAUUAAGUAUCCCACCU
This 275-nucleotide ribosomal RNA is filed under the name uncultured Cytophagales bacterium. Its description in RNAcentral is "partial 16S ribosomal RNA". It matches the Rfam family "Bacterial small subunit ribosomal RNA", at positions 597 to 874 of the family's 1533-position model. The record is from RNAcentral. Lineage: Bacteria; Pseudomonadati; Bacteroidota; Sphingobacteriia; Sphingobacteriales.